GGAGAACUCCGAGGAGCCAACCCUAGUACGAGAGGACUGGGUUAAGCUAACCUAUGGUGUACCGGUUGUUAUGCCAAUAGCAGUGCUGGGCAGCUAAGUUAGUAUGGAAGAACUGCUGCGCUGCGGGAAAUCCUUCUCUAUACAAGUUCUCGGAUGAGGUUUUUGAACAGAACUUCGAUAGUCGAGAGGUGUAAGCACCGCGAGGUGUGAAGCAAUCUCAUACUAAAUGA
This 230-nucleotide non-coding RNA is filed under the name Nicotiana attenuata. RNAcentral describes it as "Bacterial large subunit ribosomal RNA". It matches the Rfam family "Bacterial large subunit ribosomal RNA", at positions 2656 to 2912 of the family's 2925-position model. The record is from Rfam by way of RNAcentral. Lineage: Eukaryota; Viridiplantae; Streptophyta; Magnoliopsida; Solanales; Solanaceae.